AAUCAACGCUGGCGGCGUGCCUCAGACAUGCAAGUCGAACGAUUAAAGCUCUCUUCGGAGAGUGUAUAGAGUGGCGCACGGGUGAGUAACACGUAAGUAAUCUACCUUCGAGUGGGGAAUAACACCGAGAAAUCGGUGCUAAUACCGCAUAAUGCAGCGGCAUCGCAAGAUGACAGUUGUUAAAGAUUUAUCGCUUGAAGAGGAGCUUGCGGCAGAUUAGCUAGUUGGUAAGGUAAUGGCUUACCAAGGCUACGAUCUGUAACCGGUCUAAGAGGACGGUCGGUCACACUGACACUGAAUAACGGGUCAGACUCCUACGGGAGGCAGCAGUCGGGAAUUUUGGGCAAUGGGCGAAAGCCUGACCCAGCAACGCCGCGUGAAGGAUGAAGUAUUUCGGUAUGUAAACUUCGAAAGAAUA
RNAcentral lists this ribosomal RNA (418 nucleotides) under uncultured bacterium. Its description in RNAcentral is "bacterial SSU rRNA". It matches the Rfam family "Bacterial small subunit ribosomal RNA", at positions 32 to 442 of the family's 1533-position model. The record is from RNAcentral.